Molecule: ribosomal RNA, 460 nt
Filed under: uncultured bacterium
Lineage: Bacteria
Description: partial 16S ribosomal RNA
Rfam family: Bacterial small subunit ribosomal RNA
Source: RNAcentral
CCUACGGGAGGCAGCAGUGAGGAAUAUUGGUCAAUGGCCGGAAGGCUGAACCAGCCAUGCCGCGUGAAGGUCAGUGCCCUAUGGGCGUUAAACUUCUUUUGUGCGGGAGCAAUAAUGGUCACGUGUGGCCAGACGAUAGUACCGUACGAAUAAGCAUCGGCUAACUCCGUGCCAGCCGCCGCGGUAAUACGGGGGAUGCAAGCGUUAUCCGGAUUUAUUGGGUUUAAAGGGUGCGUAGGCUGUGAGGUAAGUCAGCGGUGAAAUGCCGCCGCUCAACGGGGUGAAGUGCCAUUGAUACUGCCUUGCUGGAAUGCGGAUGCCGUGGGAGGAAUGUGUGGUGUAGCGGUGAAAUGCAUAGAUAUCACACAGAACACCGAUUGCGAAGGCAUCUCACGAAUCCGCGAUUGACGCUGAUGCACGAAAGCGUGGGUAUCAAACAGGAUUAGAUACCCUGGUAGUC